This 406-nucleotide ribosomal RNA is filed under the name uncultured bacterium. RNAcentral's name for it is "partial 16S ribosomal RNA". It matches the Rfam family "Bacterial small subunit ribosomal RNA", at positions 30 to 526 of the family's 1533-position model. The record is from RNAcentral.
AUUGAACGCUGGCGGCAGGCCUAACACAUGCAAGUCGAGCGAGCGUCGGACGUGUGUCUAAUGUCUGGGGAUCUGCCCGAUAGAGGGGGAUAACUACUGGAAACGGUGGCUAAUACCGCAUACUAUCCCUUGAACCCAUAUUGGAUUAGCUAGUAGGUGGGGUAAAGGAUCACCUAGGCGACCAUCUCUAGCUGGUCAGAGAGGAUGAUCAGCCAAACUGGGGCUGAGACACGGCCCAGCCUCCUACGGGAGGCAGCAGUGGGGAAUAUUGCACAAUGGGCGCAAGCCUGCUGCAGCCAUGCCGCGUGUAUGAAGCAGGCCUUAGGGUUGUAAAGUACUUUCAGCGGGGAGGCGUUAACCGAAGAAGAAGCACCGGCUAACUCCGUGCCAGCAGCCGCGGUAAUUC